RNAcentral lists this transfer RNA (72 nucleotides) under Acanthocystis turfacea Chlorella virus Canal-1. RNAcentral describes it as "tRNA-Ile". It matches the Rfam family "tRNA". Rfam says of the family: Transfer RNA (tRNA) molecules are approximately 80 nucleotides in length. Their secondary structure includes four short double-helical elements and three loops (D, anti-codon, and T loops). Lineage: Varidnaviria; Bamfordvirae; Nucleocytoviricota; Megaviricetes; Algavirales; Phycodnaviridae. The record is from RNAcentral.
GCUCGCUUAGCUCAGUGGCAGAGCAACGGUCUUAUGAGCCGUGGGUCGGCGGUUCGAUCCCGUCAGCGAGCA